UGUGGCAGAAUAGUGCAAUAAAUUUAAGUCUUAUUUAUAAAGUAAAACUUUCCUUAGAA
Molecule: transfer RNA, 59 nt
Filed under: Benibotarus taygetanus
Lineage: Eukaryota; Metazoa; Arthropoda; Insecta; Coleoptera; Lycidae
Description: tRNA-Leu
Source: RNAcentral